RNAcentral lists this long non-coding RNA (1811 nucleotides) under Cyanistes caeruleus (blue tit). RNAcentral describes it as "lncRNA (ENSCCEG00000002731.1)". The record is from RNAcentral. Lineage: Eukaryota; Metazoa; Chordata; Aves; Passeriformes; Paridae.
AAAUCCCAAAUCUGCCAAAAAAAUCCUAAAAAAAAAUCCCAAAAUUUACAGAAAAAAAUUCCUAAAAAAACCCAAAAAAGGAGCCAAAAUUGGAAGAAAAAUCCCCCAAAAAUCCCAAAUUCUGUAGAAAAAUUGCCUGAAAAUGACCCCAAAAAAGGAACUAAAAUUGGAAGAAAAAUCCCCCCAAAAAUCCCCAAAUCUGCAGAAAAAAUCCCCAAAAUCCAAAAGGGGGAAAAAGGGGGAAAAAAAGCAAAAAAAAUGGGAAUUUUUGAGGAAAUUAUCCCAAAAAAAUCCCAAAAUUUAUGGAAAAAUCAGCCAAAAAAAGAAUCAAAAAAAGGAACUAAAAUUGAAAGAAAAAUCCCAAAAAAAUCCUAAAAUUUGUAGAAAAAUUGCCUUAAAAUGACCCCAAAAAAGGAACUAAAAUUGGAAGAAAAAUCCCCAAAAAAAUCCAAAGCUACCAAAAAAAUCUGCUUAAAAAUUAAUUAAAAUUCAUACAAAAAACAAUCAAAAUCUACAAAAAAAUUCCCAAAAAAUUCCUAAAAUCUACUGAAAAAACACCCAAAAUUCAACCAAAAUCCAUCCAAAAAAAUCCCCAAAAACCCCAAAAAUUCAAUCAAAAUUCACCCAAAAAACCCCAAAAAUUCAAUUAAAAUCCACCCAAAAAACCCCAAAAAUUCAACCAAAAUCCACCCAAAAAACCCCAAAAAUUCAACCAAAAUCCACCCAAAAACUCCCCAAAAUUCAAUCAAAAUCCACCCAAAAAACUCCAAAAAUUCAACCAAAAUCCACAAAAAAACCCCAAAAAUUCAACCAAAAUCCACCCAAAAAAACCCCAAAAAUUCAACCAAAAUCCACCCAAAAAAUCCCCAAAAUUCAACCAAAAUCCACCCAAAAAACCCCAAAAAUUCAAACAAAAUCCACCCAAAAAAUCCCAGAAAUUCAACCAAAAUCCACAAAAAAAACCCCCCAAAAUUCAACCAAAAUCCACCCAAAAAACCCCAAAAAUUCAAUCAAAAGCCACCCAAAAAACCCCAAAAAUCCCCAAAAUUCCCCCAAAUCUCGAGGCCUCAAAAUGAGAAUUUUUUGCCCCCUCCUGGAAUUUUGGAGAGGAUUUUCUGCAGAAAUUUGGAAUUUUCACCCCAAAAAUUUGGGGUUUUUGGAUGAAAUUUGGGGAUUUUCCCAAAAUUUGGGGGUUUCAGCUCAAAAAUUUGUGAUUUUCUGCUGAAAUUCAGGAAUUUUCCCCCAAAAUUUGGGGUUUUUUGGGUGAAAGUUGAGGAUUUUCCUCAAAAUUUGGGGUUUUCUGUAGAAAUUUGGAGUUUUCACCCCAAAAAUUUGGGAUUUUUACCCCCAAAAUUUGGGAUUUUCCCCAAAAAUUUGGGAUUUUCUGGUGAAAUUUGGGGAUUUUCCCCAAAAUUUGGCAUUUUUAACCCCAAAAAUUUGGGAUUUUCUGCAGAAAUUGGGGAAUUGACCCCAAAAAUUUGGGGGUUUCAGAUGAAAUUCGGGGAUUUUCCCCAAAAUUUGGGGGUUUAACCCCAAAAAUUUGGGAUUUUCUGCAGAAAUUCGGGAUUUUUCCCCCAAAAUUUGGGAUUUUCUGGUGAAAUUCGGUGAUUUUUCCCAAAAUUUGGAGUUUUCAUCCCAAAAAUUUGGGAUUUUCUUCAGAAAUUUGGGGAUUUACCCCCAAAAUUUGGGAUUUUUGCCUGAAAUUUGGAGUUUUCACCCCCAAAAUUUGGGAUUUUCAUGCCAAAAAUUUGGGAUUUUCAGCUGAAAUUCAGGGAUUUUUCCCAAAAUUUGGUGUUUUCACCCCAAAAAAA